GAGUGAAAUAGAACCUGAAACCGUGUGCUUACAAGUAGUCAGAGCCCGUUAAUGGGUGAUGGCGUGCCUUUUGUAGAAUGAACCGGCGAGUUACGAUUUGAUGCAAGGUUAAGCAGUAAAUGUGGAGCCGUAGCGAAAGCGAGUCUGAAUAGGGCGUUUAGUAUUUGGUCGUAGACCCGAAACCAGGUGAUCUACCCUUGGUCAGGUUGAAGUUCAGGUAACACUGAAUGGAGGACCGAACCGACUUACGUUGAAAAGUGAGCGGAUGAACUGAGGGUAGCGGAGAAAUUCCAAUCGAACCUGGAGAUAGCUGGUUCUCUCCGAAAUAGCUUUAGGGCUAGCCUCAAGUGAUGAUUAUUGGAGGUAGAGCACUGUUUGGACGAGGGGCCCCUCUCGGGUUACCGAAUUCAGACAAACUCCGAAUGCCAAUUAAUUUAACUUGGGAGUCAGAACAUGGGUGAUAAGGUCCGUGUUCGAAAGGGAAACAGCCCAGACCACCAGCUAAGGUCCCAAAAUAUAUGUUAAGUGGAAAAGGAUGUGGCGUUGCCCAGACAACUAGGAUGUUGGCUUAGAAGCAGCCAUCAUUUAAAGAGUGCGUAAUAGCUCACUAGUCGAGUGACACUGCGCCGAAAAUGUACCGGGGCUAAACAUAUUACCGAAGCUGUGGAUUGUCCUUUGGACAAUGGUAGGAGAGCGUUCUAAGGGCGUUGAAGCAUGAUCGUAAGGACAUGUGGAGCGCUUAGAAGUGAGAAUGCCGGUGUGAGUAGCGAAAGACGGGUGAGAAUCCCGUCCACCGAUUGACUAAGGUUUCCAGAGGAAGGCUCGUCCGCUCUGGGUUAGUCGGGUCCUAAGCUGAGGCCGACAGGCGUAGGCGAUGGAUAACAGGUUGAUAUUCCUGUACCACCUAUAAUCGUUUUAAUCGAUGGGGGGACGCAGUAGGAUAGGCGAAGCGUGCGAUUGGAUUGCACGUCUAAGCAGUAAGGCUGAGUAUUAGGCAAAUCCGGUACUCGUUAAGGCUGAGCUGUGAUGGGGAGAAGACAUUGUGUCUUCGAGUCGUUGAUUUCACACUGCCGAGAAAAGCCUCUAGAUAGAAAAUAGGUGCCCGUACCGCAAACCGACACAGGUAGUCAAGAUGAGAAUUCUAAGGUGAGCGAGCGAACUCUCGUUAAGGAACUCGGCAAAAUGACCCCGUAACUUCGGGAGAAGGGGUGCUCUUUAGGGUUAACGCCCAGAAGAGCCGCAGUGAAUAGGCCCAAGCGACUGUUUAUCAAAAACACAGGUCUCUGCUAAACCGUAAGGUGAUGUAUAGGGGCUGACGCCUGCCCGGUGCUGGAAGGUUAAGAGGAGUGGUUAGCUUCUGCGAAGCUACGAAUCGAAGCCCCAGUAAACGGCGGCCGUAACUAUAACGGUCCUAAGGUAGCGAAAUUCCUUGUCGGGUAAGUUCCGACCCGCACGAAAGGCGUAACGAUUUGGGCACUGUCUCAACGAGAGACUCGGUGAAAUCAUAG
Molecule: ribosomal RNA, 1508 nt
Filed under: Staphylococcus aureus M0681
Lineage: Bacteria; Bacillati; Bacillota; Bacilli; Caryophanales; Staphylococcaceae
Description: bacterial LSU rRNA
Rfam family: Bacterial large subunit ribosomal RNA
Source: RNAcentral